UACGGGAGGCAGCAGUGGGGAAUAUUGCACAAUGGGCGCAAGCCUGAUGCAGCCGUGCCGCGUGUAUGAAGAAGGCCUUCGGGUUGUAAAGUACUUUCAGUCGUGAGGAAGGUGUUAAGGUUAAUAACCUUAGCAAUUGACGUUAGCGACAGAAGAAGCACCGGCUAACUCCGUGCCAGCAGCCGCGGUAAUACGGAGGGUGCGAGCGUUAAUCGGAAUUACUGGGCGUAAAGGGCACGCAGGCGGUUAAUUAAGUUGGAUGUGAAAUCCCCGGGCUUAACCUGGGAAUGGCAUUCAAGACUGGUUAGCUAGAGUCUUGUAGAGGGGGUAGAAUUCCAUGUGUAGCGGUGAAAUGCGUAGAGAUGUGGAGGAAUACCGGUGGCGAAGGCGGCCCCUGGACAAAGACUGACGCUCAUGUGCGAAAGCGUGGGGAGCGAAACAGGGAUU
This 447-nucleotide ribosomal RNA is filed under the name uncultured bacterium. RNAcentral's name for it is "bacterial SSU rRNA". It matches the Rfam family "Bacterial small subunit ribosomal RNA", at positions 340 to 779 of the family's 1533-position model. The record is from RNAcentral.